CGCCGAAUGAGUUUCUGACCUAUCAACUCGAGACGGCGGGGUAGAGGCCCGCCGCGGUAACGACGGGUAACGGGGAAUCAGGGUUCGAUUCCGGAGAGGGAGCCCGAGAAACGGCUACCACUUCCAAGGAAGGCAGCAGGCGCGCAACUUACCCUAAUCUCGAUUCGAGGAGGUAGUGACAAGAAAUACCGAUGCGGGGACCCUACGGGUGCCGCGUUCGGAAUGAGUACGAUUCGAACCACCUAACGAGGAACGAUCGGAGGGCAAGUCUGGUGCCAGCAGCCGCGGUAAUUCCAGCUCCAAUAGCGUACGUUAAAGUUGCUGCAGUUAAAAAGCUCGUAGUUGAACGUUCGGGUUCCGCGGGACGGGGCCGCCCCGCGAGGGACGGCGCCGCCCCGGGGCUCGUGAUAUCUCAUCUCGCCGCCCGUCGCGAGGCGGACGGAGGGAUGGAUGAGGUUACCUGGAAAAAAUCGGGGC
RNAcentral lists this ribosomal RNA (477 nucleotides) under uncultured eukaryote. RNAcentral's name for it is "bacterial SSU rRNA". It matches the Rfam family "Eukaryotic small subunit ribosomal RNA", at positions 293 to 772 of the family's 1831-position model. The record is from RNAcentral.